This 376-nucleotide ribosomal RNA is filed under the name uncultured organism. RNAcentral's name for it is "partial 16S ribosomal RNA". It matches the Rfam family "Bacterial small subunit ribosomal RNA", at positions 527 to 897 of the family's 1533-position model. The record is from RNAcentral.
GUAGGUGGCAAGCGUUGUCCGGGAAUUAUUGGGGCGUAAAGCGCGCGCAGGCGGUUCUUUAAGUCUGAUGUGAAAGCCCACGGGCUCAACCGUGGAGGGUCAUUGGAAACUGGAGAACUUGAGUACAGAAGAGGAAAGCGGAAUUCCACGUGUAGCGGUGAAAUGCGUAGAGAUGUGGAGGAACACCAGUGGCGAAGGCGGCUUUCUGGUCUGUAACUGACGCUGAGGCGCGAAAGCGUGGGGAGCAAACAGGAUUAGAUACCCUGGUAGUCCACGCCGUAAACGAUGAGUGCUAAGUGUUAGGGGGUUUCCGCCCCUUAGUGCUGCAGCUAACGCAUUAAGCACUCCGCCUGGGGAGUAUGGCCGCAAAGGCUGA